GAUGGACGCUGGCGGCGUGCCUAAUACAUGCAAGUCGAGCGAACGGACGAGAAGCUUGCUUUUCUGAUGUUAGCGGCGGACGGGUGAGUAACACGUGGAUAACCUACCUAUAAGACUGGGAUAACUUCGGGAAACCGGAGCUAAUACCGGAUAAUAUUUUGAACCGCAUGGUUCAAAAGUGAAAGACGGUCUUGCUGUCACUUAUAGAUGGAUCCGCGCUGCAUUAGCUAGUUGGUAAGGUAACGGCUUACCAAGGCAACGAUGCAUAGCCGACCUGAGAGGGUGAUCGGCCACACUGGAACUGAGACACGGACCAGACUCCUACGGGAGGCAGCAGUAGGGAAUCUUCCGCAAUGGGCGAAAGCCUGACGGAGCAACGCCGCGUGAGUGAUGAAGGUCUUCGGAUCGUAAAACUCUGUUAUUAGGGAAGAACAUAUGUGUAAGUAACUGUGCACAUCUUGACGGUACCUAAUCAGAAAGCCACGGCUAACUACGUG
Molecule: ribosomal RNA, 497 nt
Filed under: uncultured bacterium
Lineage: Bacteria
Description: partial 16S ribosomal RNA
Rfam family: Bacterial small subunit ribosomal RNA
Source: RNAcentral